This 443-nucleotide ribosomal RNA is filed under the name uncultured Lachnospiraceae bacterium. Its description in RNAcentral is "bacterial SSU rRNA". It matches the Rfam family "Bacterial small subunit ribosomal RNA", at positions 61 to 507 of the family's 1533-position model. Lineage: Bacteria; Bacillati; Bacillota; Clostridia; Lachnospirales; Lachnospiraceae. The record is from RNAcentral.
GUACGAACGGGGACGACGACGGAAACCUAGUGAAGUCUGUCCGACGUGGCGGACGGGUGAGUAACGCGUGGAGUAACCUGCCGCAUGGCAGGGGGAUACCGGACUGGAAACAGCCGCUAAUACCGCAUAAGCGCACGGUGCCGCAUGGCAGAGUGCGAAAAGGAGAAAUCCGGCAAGCGAUGGAUCCGCGUCCGAUUAGCCAGUUGCGGGGUAAGGGCCCACCAAAGCGACGAUCGGUAGCCGGCCUGAGAGGGCGGACGGCCACAUUGGGACUGAGACACGGCCCAGACUCCUACGGGAGGCAGCAGUGGGGGAUAUUGCACAAUGGGGAAACCCUGAUGCAGCGACGCCGCGUGGGUGAAGAAGUAUUUCGGUAUGUAAAGCCCUAUCAGCAGGGAAGAAAGAAGACGGUACCUGACUAAGAAGCCCCGGCUAACUACGUG